Molecule: ribosomal RNA, 254 nt
Filed under: uncultured bacterium
Lineage: Bacteria
Description: partial 16S ribosomal RNA
Rfam family: Bacterial small subunit ribosomal RNA
Source: RNAcentral
CACGUAGGGGGCAAGCGUUGUCCGGAUUUAUUGGGCGUAAAGAGCUCGUAGGCGGUUCGGUAAGUCGGGUGUGAAACCUCCAGGCUCAACCUGGAGACGCCACCCGAUACUGCUGUGACUUGAGUCCGGUAGGGGAGCGUGGAAUUCCUGGUGUAGCGGUGGAAUGCGCAGAUAUCAGGAGGAACACCAAUAGCGAAGGCAGCUCGCUGGGACGGUACUGACGCUAAGGCGCGAAAGCGUGGGGAGCGAACAGG